AGUGAACGCUGGCGGUAGGCCUAACACAUGCAAGUCGAACGGCAGCACAGUAAGAGCUUGCUCUUACGGGUGGCGAGUGGCGGACGGGUGAGGAAUACAUCGUAAUCUACUUUUUCGUGGGGGAUAACGUAGGGCAACUUACGCUAAUACCGCAUACGACCUACGAGUGAAAGCAGGGGAUCUUCGGACCUUGCGCUCUUGAAUGAGCCGAUGUCGGAUUAGCUAGUUGGCGGGGUAAAGGCCCACCAAGGCGACGAUCCGUAGCUGGUCUGAGAGGAGGACCAGCCAAACGGGAACGAGGAAACGGUCCAGACUCCUACGGGAGGAAGCAGUGGGGAAUAUUGGACAAGGGGGGCAAGCCGGAUCCAGCCAUACCGCGUGGGUGAAGAAGGCCUUCGGGUGGUAAAGCCCUUUUGUUGGGAAAGAAAAGCAGCAGGUUAAUACCCCGCUGUUCUGACGGUAACUAAAGAAUAAGCACCGGCUAACUUCGUG
This 492-nucleotide ribosomal RNA is filed under the name uncultured bacterium. RNAcentral's name for it is "partial 16S ribosomal RNA". It matches the Rfam family "Bacterial small subunit ribosomal RNA", at positions 29 to 507 of the family's 1533-position model. The record is from RNAcentral.